RNAcentral lists this ribosomal RNA (253 nucleotides) under uncultured bacterium. RNAcentral's name for it is "partial 16S ribosomal RNA". It matches the Rfam family "Bacterial small subunit ribosomal RNA", at positions 524 to 776 of the family's 1533-position model. The record is from RNAcentral.
UACAGAGGUCUCAAGCGUUGUUCGGAUUCAUUGGGCGUAACGGGUGCGUAGGCGGCGCGGUAAGUCGGGUGUGAAAUCUCGGGGCUUAACUCCGAAACUGCAUUCGAUACUGCCGUGCUUGAGGACUGGAGAGGAGACUGGAAUUUACGGUGUAGCGGUGAAAUGCGUAGAUAUCGUAAGGAAGACCAGUGGCGAAGGCGGGUCUCUGGACAGUUCCUGACGCUGAGGCACGAAGGCCAGGGGAGCAAACGGG